ACGUAGGGGGCGAGCGUUGUCCGGAGUUACUGGGCGUAAAGGGUGCGCAGGCGGCCGGAGCAAGUUUGUGGUGAAAUCUCCCCGCUCAACGGGGAGCGUGCCGCGAAGACUGCGCGGCUUGAGGGCCGGAGGGGGACGCGGAAUUCCGGGUGGAGCGGUGAAAUGCGUAGAGAUCCGGAAGAACACCGGAGGCGAAGGCGGCUGGCUGGACCUGAUCUGACGCUGAGGUGCGAAAGCGUGGGGAGCGAACAGGA
RNAcentral lists this ribosomal RNA (254 nucleotides) under uncultured prokaryote. RNAcentral describes it as "partial 16S ribosomal RNA". It matches the Rfam family "Bacterial small subunit ribosomal RNA", at positions 525 to 777 of the family's 1533-position model. The record is from RNAcentral.